ACGUUCAGGUAAUCGCUGCAGUCUUUAGGGCUGUAGAGGAAAGUCCAUGCUCGCACGGUGCUGAGAUGCCCGUAGUGUUCGUGCCUAGCGAAGUCAUAAGCUAGGGCAGCCAAAGAUUUUGGCUGACGGCAGGGAACAAGCCUAAGUCCCAUCCGGGAUAUGGCUCUAAUACCUUGAAAGUGCCACAGUGACGUAGUCUUUCGGGAAACUGAAAGAGUGGAACGCGGUAAACCCCUCGAGCGAGAAACCCAAAUAUAGGUAGGGGCACCUUCUCUUAGGAAUUGAACAAGGAGAAGGCCGGAAGCGAUUCGCUUCUGUAGAUAGAUGAUUACCACCGGAGUACGAGGUGAUACCGGCCGUUUGCAGUACAAAGGGACAAAACAUGGCUUACAGAA
RNAcentral lists this RNase P RNA (395 nucleotides) under Metabacillus dongyingensis. RNAcentral's name for it is "RNase P RNA component class B". It matches the Rfam family "Bacterial RNase P class B". Rfam says of the family: Ribonuclease P (RNase P) is a ubiquitous endoribonuclease, found in archaea, bacteria and eukarya as well as chloroplasts and mitochondria. The record is from RNAcentral. RNAcentral also lists the same sequence under 3 other names. Lineage: Bacteria; Bacillati; Bacillota; Bacilli; Caryophanales; Bacillaceae.